AUACGUAGGGGGCGAGCGUUAUCCGGAAUUAUUGGGCGUAAAGGGUUCGCAGGUGGCCUGAUAAGUCAGAAGUGAAAGGCUACGGCUCAACCGUAGUAAGCUUUUGAAACUAAGAGACUUGAGUGCAGGAGAGGAGAGUAGAAUUCCUAGUGUAGCGGUGAAAUGCGUAGAUAUUAGGAGGAAUACCAGUUGCGAAGGCGGCUCUCUGGACUGUAACUGACACUGAGGCACGAAAGCGUGGGGAGCAAACAGGAUUAGAUACCCUGGUAGUCCACGCCGUAAACGAUGAGUACUAGCUGUCGGGGGUUACCCCCCUCGGUGGCGCAGCUAACGCAUUAAGUACUCCGCCCGGGAAGUACGCUCGCAAGAGUGAAACUCAAAUGAAUUGACGGGG
RNAcentral lists this ribosomal RNA (394 nucleotides) under uncultured bacterium. RNAcentral's name for it is "partial 16S ribosomal RNA". It matches the Rfam family "Bacterial small subunit ribosomal RNA", at positions 523 to 918 of the family's 1533-position model. The record is from RNAcentral.